GUUGUUGGUUCUGGAGGAGCUGCAAAGAUGGAGGAACGGGAGUCGUGACGGGAAUUUUUUUUUUAAAAAGCAAAAAAAAACAAACACCACACACAAACCUAAUAAAGAAACGGUACCUUUUGUACACCCGUUCCAUGGUAACCUGUUUCGCCACCAGACGCUCAAGAUUGGUCUGUGCAGGAGGGAACUGUUGUCAGCGCGAUUCAGAAGAGCCCACCACUGAUGCCUUCAAUGUAACAGAAUGUCAGAGGAAGAAGAUCCCCUUUAGUCCGCAUUCCCCUUCCCCAAACCCCUUUCCCUUCCCCUUUUUCCCUUCCCCAUGAAUACAAGCACUGCUUAUCCCUUGGUUACAAGACUGUGGAGGGGCUUAUAGUGAAGCCUAUUUUUCUCAGCUUGGUGAAGAACUGCAGCAAUUGCAACUAUUUGAUUCAUGAACUCCCAAAAUAGUCCAGACGGGGUUACCAGUCGGGAGCAGCCAUUAGAACUGUUGGCCAGAAGCAGGAUACAUGCCAUUCCUGCCACAGGUG
Long non-coding RNA from Polypterus senegalus (gray bichir), 527 nucleotides. RefSeq lists it as uncharacterized. The transcript has 3 exons. NCBI's taxonomy places the organism in Eukaryota, Metazoa, Chordata, Cladistia, Polypteriformes, Polypteridae. The record is from RefSeq and is a predicted model, not a curated record.